CCCCCCCCCGAGGAUGCGGUGCCUCUGCCCCAUAUGAACGGUCACGCCGUGGAACUCCCGUGGAUGACCCCAAAGGGCCUGUGCCUCUGGCGCGGUGCCCACACGAGCGCCAUUUACCGGAUACCAUCGUUUGAUCCUUGGGAUAAGUGGCAAGUAAUGAAAAGACUUCCGUGCCUUUCUGUUCUCAUCACGUCUCUGUUCAGCACAUUUUGGGCAGUUGUCCAUAUCGGUGUAUGCAUUAAAUCAAAUACAAAACAAAAACACAGUCGAUUAUCUUAUCAGGUGUCAUGGAAUACUGAACCUUCAAGUGAUUGAAAGGGUGAAAUCCAUCUGCACAUAUUGUUAGUGACAAACAGCGUUUGUCUCCAUUAAAAGGACCGUCCAGUGAGUACAAGUCCUUCCACUUCUGUGAUUUGAAAAAGGAAAUGUCAAACUGGUCCUCGUGUGCCCUGAGAGAUGUGGCUAAUGCAGGAGACUACAGGGACAGGAAUGGGGGGGGGGGGGAAAGAAUGAAAUAUAGGGCUGAUUGAUAUCUUCACCCACAUAGAUGUGACAAUACAAUAUCUUUGCUUACCUUUGACGACAUCAACCUUGACUUUGUCCAGCCACACACCCUUGUCCUUUGGGCGCAGUCCCGAGCCUUGGACGCUGACCAGCUCCUCCUUGGAAAACACGAGGUCUAUCACCCGAUUGAGGAGGGUCAGUGCAUUGCUUGAAGUGGCAGUAUGGGCUCUCCUUUCGGCCUGGGACAAUUUGACUUGAUCGACCAGAAUAUUGAGGUACAGUUCGGGAUUACUAGGGUCCCGAGCCAGUUGAAUCUGUUUGAUACAGAGCAGCACAAAAUGUAACGGCCUCGUCACAUAUAAGAUACAAUGUAUACACAUUACACACAUUAUCAUAAUUGACAAAAACAAUGGAAGUGGCAAGAUAUACAUCACAUUCAUGAGCAAUGUAUCAUACGGAACAUCAUAUUUAUUGUAAGGUAUAAGGUAUGUACACAAUAUGACAGAGGAGCUAGGGGCAAAGUGACUAUAAUUGUUUAAAAAAACACUCUCUCAUUCUUUGAAUCAAACAAUAGCCUUGCUUUAUUAUUGGGCAUCACCAGAGCAGGAACGAUGCCAAGCUUGGCUCUCAAGUGGUCGAGGAGCCUUUUCUCAUGAUCUUUGAAUACGUCCUUCACAUCAGACAUCAGUUCCCAAAUCUGCAGACUGGCCAUCUCCAAUGUUACUAUUUUUUUGAAGAAUGAUCCCAUAUUGAUGUCUGCAUGAGUUGCAUCUAUCAAACGGAUAAAUUCCGCCCAUUGGUCCGGGGUCAGCCCUGCCACAAAACACUCCAGUAUUCGCCGCUGAAUCAACAGGGACGGAGUACUAGGGGGGAGCAGGGGGAAAUAAAUGCUGUAUCUACGUGCUAGUACCUUAUUUGCCGUGCACGUCAAAAAUCAUAAUUAUACAGCACCCUGACACUGUCGUUUUCUGAAGCUCUAAUCACACUUAAUACAAAAACUGAAAGGCCUCAAUUAGUGUUGUUUAUACUUAGCCAGAAUUCAACGCUUUUUGGGUUUACAAAUUUCUGUGAACAACUUGCCCUUCAAGGUCAUACAUACAUGUACAUACAUACAUAUAAAUAUUUAUAUAGCGUCUUUACACAAACAUGCUCAAAGCGCUUUACAUUGUAAAAUAAAAACAUAAUAUUUAUAUGCUCUCCAAGUGCAUUACACUCUAAAAAUAACAAUUAUAAAGAAAUCAAAUGAGUUUUUAGAUUUCUCUUAAAUGAUGCUAUGUUAGUCCUGAAUUUUUGUUGAGUAUGGGAGAUUGAUCUGACUCGUAAGCUUUUUGGUGCCAGUUAAAAAAGCAUUUUGACCUUGUGCAAGGACAUAGCAGAACUCAUUCCAAUAGAAACAUGAGCAGACUGUGUAUCGCCUGUUUCAUCCUCAGCAAACUUGUUGUAAUUUGGCAGUAUUGGUAACUGGAGAUGCAUGAUACAAGUAUUUGCAAUUGGAAACUCUUUUGAGGCACUAUUGCGUUCUGCCACACUGGCAGAGUGGCGGAAAGAUAUCCUUGGUUGCAGAAACAUAAGCGGACUUUGUAUCGCCUGUUUCAUCCUCUCAGCAAACUGUUGUAAUUUGGCAGUAUUGGUAACUGGAGAUGGAUGAUACAAGUAUUGGCAAUAGGGAACUCUGUUGUUGCCCUAUUUUCUUCUGCCACACUGGUCGGAUGUCGGAAAGUUAUCCUUGGUUGCUCCGGGAACGUAAUAAAAAGCAGAUAUGGUAAUGGUUUGAAAAUUUGACUCUGCAGCCAGUACCUACUGUUAGCCAUAUGAUAUUAAUGAACAUCUAGACCAAAAGUUUUGCCCGCUUGAAAAGUUUUCUUUCGGUCUCAUCAUUAUAGCAUUUACCUGAUACGAUCGUUGGAUCCUUGGGAUAAGUGGCAAGUAAUGGAAAGACUUCCGUGCCUUUCCGUUCUCAUCACGUCUCUGCUCUCCACAUUUGUGGCAGUUGUCCAUAUCAGAAGUCUGGCCUAGGUGUGUCCAUUAAAUCAAAUACGAAACAAAAACACAUUUGAUUAUCUUAUCAGGUGUCAUGGAAUACUGAACCUUCAAGUGAUUGAAAGGGUCAAAUCCAUUGGCACAGAUUGUCAGUGACAAACAACGUUUGUCACCAUUAAGCGGACCGUCCACCGCAUACAAAUCCAUCCACUUCUGUGAUUUGAAAAAGGAAAUUUCAAACUCGUCCUCGUGUGCCAUGGUGUCAUGGAAUAGUAAACCUUUAAGUGAUUAAAAGGGUCAAAUCCAUCGGCACAGAUUGUCAGUGACAAACAACGUUUGUCACCAUUAAACGGACCGUCCACCGCAUACAAAUCCAUCCACUUCUGUGAUUUGAAAAAGGAAAUUUCAAACUCGUCCUCGUGUGCCAUGGUGUCAUGGAAUAGUAAACCUUUAAGUGAUUAAAAGGGUCAAAUCCAUCGGCACAGAUUGUCAGUGACAAACAACGUUUGUCACCAUUAAACGGACCGUCCACCGCAUACAAAUCCAUCCACUUCUGUGAUUUGAAAAAGGAAAUGUCAAACUGGUCCUCGUUUGCCCUGAGCGAUGUGGCUAAUGCAUACAUACAUACACAUUUAUAUAGCACCUUUACACAAACAUGCUUAAAGCGCUUUACAUUUUAAAAUAAAAACAUAAUAUUUAUAUGCUCUCCAAGUGCAUUACACUCAUUACAAAGAGCAUUACAAAUAACAAUUACAAAGAAAACAAAUGUGUUUUUAGAUUUCUCUUAAAUGAUGCGACGUUAGUCCUGAAUUUUUGUCGAGUAUGGGAGAUUGAUCUGGCUCGUAAGCUUUUUGGUAUCAGUUAAGAUAGCAUUUUGACCUUGUGCAAGGACAUAGCAGAACUCAUUCCAAUAGAAACAUGAGCGGACUUUGUAUCGCCUGUUUCAUCCUCUCAGCAAAUAUGUUAUAAUUUGACAGUAUUGGCAACUGCAAAUGAAUGCUACAAGUAUUUGCAAUAGGGAACUCUGUUGUUACCCUAUUUUCUUCUGCCACUGGUCGGAUGGUGGAAAGUUACCUUUCGUUGCUCUGGGAAGGUAAUAAACAGCAGAUUUUUGCUUUGCUAUGCUGUGGCAAUAACUUGCCAGGGUCCCCUCAGCCUCUAUGUCAACUUGUUCUUAUAAUAGAAAUAUAUAUUAUCUACUCCCAAGUAUUCAUGAAUUUCAACAAUGAUGCAGUCCAGAGUAUAACAAAAAUAAUAAUAUGAAUGAUAAUACUUAGGAGCCCUGUCAUUUUCAUUUGUACAUUAUUUCCAUCUUCAUAUAUAAACAAUAGAUCAUUAAUAUUAUACAUUAUAAUUUUUUUUACAUACAAUCAUUCAUGUUAACAGUAUCAAAGACACCAAAUUUACCAGUCGCAAAUGAGAAAAGGGGAACUAAAAUACAGCCAAAGGGCCUUGUAAAAUAACAUUUGCCCUAUACCUCUCUGCCGUGUAGUCCUCAUCACGCACAUCAUCUACUUCUUCACUCCCAAUCUCUACAUUACUGCUCUGUGCCUCUUUCUCCUUGGUUCUAUUCCAGGUUUCGGCAUAGACUGAAAUUGUGGCUGAAAGGCUAGGUCAUCUACUGUGAAAUUCUCAGUAUCCGGAAAAAACUGGCCUAAAGAUUCCAAAUCAGCUUCUUCUGCAGGAAGACUUACUUGCUUUACUUGCUUUUCUCCAAUGUGAUUUAAAAUUCUUAAAUAAGAAUUUUGACUGCUAUGUCAAUUUGAAAUUCUUAAACUAAAUUUUGACUGUUCGUCACAUUUUCCUAAUUUGGUUCUUGUUUUGGAGUACUUGUCAGAAGCAGGCUCCCUUCCAGUAUGCUCCCUUCUUUGUUAUCAGAUGAAUCCAGGUCAUUACAUGUAGGAGUGCCUGUCACUGUCACAUUUUCACUUGCGUCUUGGGAAUUGUCAUCAAACAUGCUUCUGGCAUCCCAACUGGCUCUUGAGGUAUCCAAUUCAGUCUGGGUAACAGCCAUCCUUUCUCGCAUCUCAUGUAACUCCUUUUUGAGGGCGUGGCUUAGCCAGUUCUUUGUUUUUUUGCACAACACUAUUUUUGUCCAUUGUCUGCUCUUCAUCAACUGCUUUAAGCAUUUUUUUUUCGAUUUCCCCUACUACAUUCAUUAUGUAAGAGAUUCCAGUGUCCACAUUGUACUGCUUGUAUCGCAUGCGUGUGCAGAUACCAACUAGUUGUAACAGACGACUUUGAAUGCUUUCUUUUGCCUUCAGUGUUCCCUUGUGGGCAUCCAUCCUGAACAUAUGAAAACAAAAUUGAAUUAAAUAAAUUUUUAAGUGUAUACAUGUGUAGCUAAUAAUGGUGUGGUUCGCAUGAUAUUCAUUGAUAUCAUACUUAGUCAUUAAAUCGUCUUCACUCCACACUUGUCCUUCCUGCCCAGUACAUUGAAAUGUGACCAGAGAGAGUUUGAGCCAAGUUUCUUCAUAACUCUCUUUGCCGUUUGAUUCACAGAGAGUUUGAGCUGAGGUUCUUCAUAACUCUCCUUGUCGUUUGAUUCACUGGCUGGUAGUGAAGAUAUGCUGGUUUGUUGGGUAGCACAGAUUCUUGGAUGAUAUAUUCCGGAUUACCUGGGCACACAUCCCAUGUUGUUAUGUCAUUUAUCAGCCGAGGAAGAAGUUCAACAGUUAUCCUCUCUGGCCAGGCUUUGAGAGGGCUAGAUAUAUAUCAUCAUCAUAUUUAUCAUCUAUUCAAUUCAAGGUUUAACAAAAUAUAUCUUUGCAGCCGUUGAUGGCUGAAUUGCAAUACAGUUCACAGAUAAAAACAUGCAAAAUUACAAAAUAAAGAUAUCAAUUACAAUGAACAUAGAUAAUAAUUUAAAACGAAAUAAAAAUUGAAGAACAGAAUUACGGUUUAGAUUCUAGUUAAAAUAAUUUGAUAUAAAUUCAUAGUAAUAUAUGUUGAGAGUAUAGUAAUCACUUGGCUUUAAAAUAUAAGCAGAAUAUAGAGUCAUCUCCUCAGGUAAUAUACAGAUUCUUUGAAAGAAUGAGUUUGCAUAUUCUUCGGCAUAAAUCAAACUUACUAUUUUCUCUGAGUGUCUGAAGAUCCAUGGUUCCCUCGCCAGAUUCACCCUAGAGAAACUCCUGAGGAAAGGUUUGAUGAAGCUAGUUGUGAAGCACAGCUCUUAGCUGAUCUACACUCGUAACCCAAAGGGUGCAGAGGCAUAGACCUGGAUGUGAAAUGACACAAGAUCUCUUUCUGCUAGUGUACAAAGUGUUGCGAUGAUACCUCUCUGGUGAUGUAAAUUAAAGAUCCGUACAGAGG
RNAcentral lists this long non-coding RNA (5796 nucleotides) under Strongylocentrotus purpuratus (purple sea urchin). Its description in RNAcentral is "uncharacterized LOC115925545". Lineage: Eukaryota; Metazoa; Echinodermata; Echinoidea; Camarodonta; Strongylocentrotidae. The record is from RNAcentral.